Molecule: long non-coding RNA, 1922 nt
Organism: Piliocolobus tephrosceles (Ugandan red Colobus)
Lineage: Eukaryota; Metazoa; Chordata; Mammalia; Primates; Cercopithecidae
Source: Ensembl
GACUGUAUCUUCACUUCCCAGAAAAAUGAGUAGGAUUUCUCCGGAAGGCAAGUCCCUCUGAGGAAUAUUACAGCGAAUGAAUCUUCUUUGGUGGUCCAGCCACACCAGCCCUUAUACUUCACAGCGUGAGUGUCCAGUCAACAUUGAUUAUUCCUAUGAUAGAAAAUCAAGGAUAGAUGAUAUCACAGAAGAGAUAAUCGAGGAUGUUUCAGGCUGAUCUCUGGAAUGCACUCAAGGUCACAGUGUGACUCAGGCACUUGGUCUCACUGUGUCCCUGGCUUUGGCUCCUCUUCAGACUCUCACAGACUCAGCAGAUAGGAAGGCGUCAUGGAUGAAAGAGUCCUGUUCAACCAUAUCUAUUUACGAUCAGACCAGAUUGGACUUGAUCGUGUGUGGAGGCACUAUUCUAGAAGUAGCACCGAAUCUGUCUUCUCCGGCUAUAGAAUACCAGGAGUCAGGGCAUCUAGCAACCUUCCCUGGGACCCAGCAAGAGAGGUGUCAUAAACUGCUGGCAAGACUGCGCCUCCAUACUGCCCAGAGGCCAGACAUCUCCAUGGGACUGGCAUGGCAGCAGUCACAAAUUCUAACCACCCUGUGCUAGAUUUCUCUGGGCAUACAGAGAGCCAGGUACUCUUUCCAUUUCACAUGUGAAAAAACUGAGACAUAAAAAGGUUAAAGGAUUUUUCUAAUUAACAUUGAUUCAGUGGUGAAAAUAGGACAAGAAAGUGUAUUUUAAACCUGGGGCCAUUGUUCAAAGAGUUGAGGGCAAUCUACCCAACCACCUAUCCACUCUGCAGGCAAGACAAACAGAACAAGUAGGGCAACUAUAAAUCUGCUGGCAUCAAUCGGCACAACAAAAAUAGCACUACUAGUGCCUUUUUUAUUCCCAAGAAAAUGUGUCAUCUAGAGCCACUUAUUUAAAGAAAAGUUCACAUGUGAGUGACUUUUUUUUUUUUUUUUUUUUUUAGAUAUAAACAUCAAGGCCAGGUGCGGUGGCUCACACCUGUAAUCCCAGCACUUUGGGAGGAGUGAAGUGGAGGAAGAGGUACGUUCAACUACAGAGGAGGAAACUGAGGCCCAGAGGGGAAAAGUGACUUGAUUGACAAAAAUUGGAUUCUGGUCUUUGUUCUGCCAAAGGUUCAUUGUGAGAUGGGAACAAGUUUCAGCCUUACUGUCUCAAUUUAAUGUUUAAACCAUUGUGCUUCACAUUCUAAGGACUGCUGUCACCAACAUGCUUGCUCAAAUGCAAAGCAAAAUGCUCUGAAUUCAUGUAAAGAAAGAUUUGCAGUGAGUCAAAGCCUUAUUGUUGACAAAUAGUUAUAGGCCAAGCUACAUUUGGGAGUGAUGAUAUUUUCUGCUGCUGGUGCCCGUCCUUCAGGAGUCAGGUGAGCACUGCAGGUGGAGAUGAGAGGCAAGUUUCACCUGCUCAAAAAUGUAUCUUUCCCCCAUCGAUAUGUGCCAGGACCUGCAAUUCCCACCAUCUGUCUCAUCUUUGGGUUAAGACAGUGCUUUCAUUCAUUUGUUCAUCCAUGUAUUUAGCCAAGAGUUAUUAACCUGAGCUCCUGCUGUGUACCAGGCAGGUACCAGGUGUACAGUGGCACAGUGCCUUUAUGAAAUCUAUCAUCCACUGAGGGAGAUGUUUGUACUUUCUGGUAAGAGCUCUGACGGAAAAGAGAAUAGCAGAGGGCUCAAAUGGGGGAAGAGACUUGGAAGCUGUUGCUGAAGGGCGGAAAGGAGUUAAUAGAGUGCUGAGUGGAGAAGCUUUCUGGGCAGUGGCAGCAGCAUUGGCUAGAGGCCAAGGCUGAGGGCAGUGAAGAGCUUGGUGAAUUCCAGGAACUGCCCUUGAGGCUGAAACAAAAAACGUGAGAAGGUAAGUUGUUGUAGGAAAUAAAUUGGAGACUUUACCAAGGUUGGUAUCUGCA